This 25-nucleotide non-coding RNA is filed under the name Ophiophagus hannah (king cobra). Its record names the gene oha-miR-10c-5p. RNAcentral also lists the same sequence under 5 other names. The record is from miRBase by way of RNAcentral. Lineage: Eukaryota; Metazoa; Chordata; Lepidosauria; Squamata; Elapidae.
UACCCUGUAGAACCGAAUUUGUGUG